AACCGGAUUAGAUACCCUGGUAGUCCACGCCCUAAACGAUGUCAACUAGCAGUUGGGGCCUUCGGGCCUUGGUAGCGCAGCUAACGCGUGAAGUUGACCGCCUGGGGAGUACGGUCGCAAGAUUAAAACUCAAAGGAAUUGACGGGGACCCGCACAAGCGGUGGAUGAUGUGGAUUAAUUCGAUGCAACGCGAAAAACCUUACCUACCCUUGACAUGUCUGGAAUGCCGAAGAGAUUUGGUAGUGCUCGCAAGAGAACCGGAACACAGGUGCUGCAUGGCUGUCGUCAGCUCGUGUCGUGAGAUGUUGGGUUAAGUCCCGCAACGAGCGCAACCCUUGUCAUUAGUUGCUACGAAAGGGCACUCUAAUGAGACUGCCGGUGACAAACCGGAGGAAGGUGGGGAUGACGUCAAGUCCUCAUGGCCCUUAUGGGUAGGGCUUCACACGUCAUACAAUGGUCGGGACAGAGGGUCGCCAACCCGCGAGGGGGAGCCAAUCCCAGAAACCCGAUCGUAGUCCGGAUCGCAGUCUGCAACUCGACUGCGUGAAGUCGGAAUCGCUAGUAAUCGCGGAUCAGCAUGUCGCGGUGAAUACGUUCCCGGGUCUUGUACACACCGCCCGUCACACCAUGGGAGUGGGUUUUACCAGAAGUAGUUAGCCUAACCGCAAGGAGGGCGAUUACCACGGUAGGAUUCAUGACUGGGGUGAAGUCGUAACAAGGUAACC
RNAcentral lists this ribosomal RNA (725 nucleotides) under uncultured bacterium. RNAcentral describes it as "bacterial SSU rRNA". It matches the Rfam family "Bacterial small subunit ribosomal RNA", at positions 771 to 1501 of the family's 1533-position model. The record is from RNAcentral.